AGAGUUUGAUCAUGGCUCAGAGCGAACGCUGGCGGCAGGCCUAACACAUGCAAGUCGAACGGAUCCUUCGGGAUUAGUGGCGGACGGGUGAGUAACACGUGGGAACGUGCCCUUUGGUUCGGAACAACUCAGGGAAACUUGAGCUAAUACCGGAUGUGCCCUUCGGGGGAAAGAUUUAUCGCCAUUGGAGCGGCCCGCGUCUGAUUAGCUAGUUGGUGAGGUAAAGGCUCACCAAGGCGACGAUCAGUAGCUGGUCUGAGAGGAUGAUCAGCCACAUUGGGACUGAGACACGGCCCAAACUCCUACGGGAGGCAGCAGUGGGGAAUCUUGCGCAAUGGGCGAAAGCCUGACGCAGCCAUGCCGCGUGAAUGAUGAAGGUCUUAGGAUUGUAAAAUUCUUUCACCGGGGACGAUAAUGACGGUACCCGGAGAAGAAGCCCCGGCUAACUUCGUGCCAGCAGCCGCGGUAAUACGAAGGGGGCUAGCGUUGCUCGGAAUUACUGGGCGUAAAGGGAGCGUAGGCGGACUGUUUAGUCAGAGGUGAAAGCCCAGGGCUCAACCUUGGAAUUGCCUUUGAUACUGGCAGUCUUGAGUACGGAAGAGGUAUGUGGAACUCCGAGUGUAGAGGUGAAAUUCGUAGAUAUUCGGAAGAACACCAGUGGCGAAGGCGACAUACUGGUCCGUUACUGACGCUGAGGCUCGAAAGCGUGGGGAGCAAACAGGAUUAGAUACCCUGGUAGUCCACGCCGUAAACGAUGAGUGCUAGUUGUCGGCAUGCAUGCAUGUCGGUGACGCAGCUAACGCAUUAAGCACUCCGCCUGGGGAGUACGGUCGCAAGAUUAAAACUCAAAGGAAUUGACGG
RNAcentral lists this ribosomal RNA (861 nucleotides) under uncultured Caulobacter sp. RNAcentral describes it as "bacterial SSU rRNA". It matches the Rfam family "Bacterial small subunit ribosomal RNA", at positions 8 to 916 of the family's 1533-position model. The record is from RNAcentral. Lineage: Bacteria; Pseudomonadati; Pseudomonadota; Alphaproteobacteria; Caulobacterales; Caulobacteraceae.